RNAcentral lists this transfer RNA (72 nucleotides) under Crassvirales sp. Its description in RNAcentral is "tRNA-Asn". It matches the Rfam family "tRNA". Rfam says of the family: Transfer RNA (tRNA) molecules are approximately 80 nucleotides in length. Their secondary structure includes four short double-helical elements and three loops (D, anti-codon, and T loops). The record is from RNAcentral. Lineage: Duplodnaviria; Heunggongvirae; Uroviricota; Caudoviricetes; Crassvirales.
UGGGAGGUAGCUCAGAGGCAGAGCAAGAAGCUGUUAACUUCAAGGUCGGGAUAUCGUAAUUCCCCCUCCCAG